UACGUAGGGUGCGAGCGUUAAUCGGAAUUACUGGGCGUAAAGCGUGCGCAGGCGGCUUUGCAAGACAGAUGUGAAAUCCCCGGGCUCAACCUGGGAACUGCCUUUGUGACUGGAAGGCUAGAGUACGGCAGAGGGGGAUGGAAUUCCGCGUGUAGCAGUGAAAUGCGUAGAUAUGCGGAGGAACACCAAUGGCGAAGGCAAUCCCCUGGGCCUGUACUGACGCUCAUGCACGAAAGCGUGGGGAGCAAACAGG
RNAcentral lists this ribosomal RNA (253 nucleotides) under uncultured bacterium. RNAcentral's name for it is "partial 16S ribosomal RNA". It matches the Rfam family "Bacterial small subunit ribosomal RNA", at positions 524 to 776 of the family's 1533-position model. The record is from RNAcentral.